This 231-nucleotide unclassified non-coding RNA is filed under the name Archaeospora sp. RNAcentral's name for it is "partial contains 5.8S ribosomal RNA and internal transcribed spacer 2". The stretch from base 1 to 71 matches the Rfam family "5.8S ribosomal RNA", at positions 84 to 154 of the family's 154-position model. Lineage: Eukaryota; Fungi; Glomeromycota; Glomeromycetes; Archaeosporales; Archaeosporaceae. The record is from RNAcentral.
GUGAAUCAUCGAAUUUUUGAACGCAUAUUGCACUCUCUGGUAUUCCGGAGAGUAUGCCUAUUUGAGGGUCAUUUGAAAUAAUAUAAAUUCUAAGAUUUCUCUGAAUUUAAAAUGGGUUGUCCAUUUGUUGUGGUCGCCUAAGAUCCAAGACAAGCUCAUUUUCUUGGUUUUCUUGAUACUUUCAGUUAUCUCGUUACUUAACUAUGAAUCAUCGGGCGCGUGAUGAAUUUU